GUGUCAUUUUCGGUUAGUUUUCCUAGUCAUUCAGUUUUCGAUUUCCUAUGUGCAAAGAACAUUCGGCUCUCCAAAAAAGUAAUUAUCAAUUUGGUGAAUUUUAUUUUGUGCCACAGAAAGAACAGCACUGGAAAAAGCGACUCAGUCGUUGUGUCUUUUGCAGACUUUUAUCUGCAGACGAAAUACGAGAGCGAAGCCAGUGCAGUGCCACGACUGUUGUUCAGAAGUAACAGAAGGAACGAAGUGUGGAACGUAUCGGCCGUAUAUUUUGUAGAACCAAAACACAACGGAGAGAGAAACAAGUGCCUCGACUGUUGUGUUGAGUGGAUCGCAUGUUGAGACGGUUCUUUCUUCAUUUUAAGGCAUUUUUCAUAAAUAUUUGCCAUUAUUUGUUGUGCCUUAUUCGCAUUGUUACGGAAGUUUCCAAUUAGAAGAUUCAAACAAAUUCAAGCGCUGUUACCAGCAUGGCGCAGCCGGUAGACAAUUCGUUUUCAUACUGGUCAAGCAGUGCACGCCCCGGCGGCGGCCAAGCAGCAACAAGUAA
This is a long non-coding RNA of Drosophila obscura, 544 nucleotides long. RefSeq lists it as uncharacterized. The transcript is spliced from 4 exons. NCBI's taxonomy places the organism in Eukaryota, Metazoa, Arthropoda, Insecta, Diptera, Drosophilidae. The record is from RefSeq and is a predicted model, not a curated record.